Molecule: non-coding RNA, 96 nt
Organism: Stegodyphus mimosarum
Lineage: Eukaryota; Metazoa; Arthropoda; Arachnida; Araneae; Eresidae
Source: Rfam
UUGAUCAUACUUCAUAGGAUCAUUUCUAUAGUAUGAUUAGCGAGUUCACUCACCGUCGUUUGAUCACAAUGCGAGAAACAUACAUACAUUUAUGCA